RNAcentral lists this ribosomal RNA (253 nucleotides) under uncultured bacterium. RNAcentral describes it as "partial 16S ribosomal RNA". It matches the Rfam family "Bacterial small subunit ribosomal RNA", at positions 524 to 776 of the family's 1533-position model. The record is from RNAcentral.
UAAGGAGGGGACUAGCGUUGUUCGGAAUUACUGGGCGUAAAGCGCACGUAGGCGGAUUUGUAAGUCAGGGGUGAAAUCCCGAGGCUCAACAUCGGAACUGCCUUUGAUACUGCAAAUCUCGAGUCCGGAAGAGGUGAGUGGAAUUCCUAGUGUAGAGGUGAAAUUCGUAGAUAUUAGGAAGAACACCAGUGGCGAAGGCGGCUCACUGGUCCGGUACUGAUGCUGAGGUGCGAAAGCGUGGGGAGCAAACAGG